Molecule: ribosomal RNA, 1184 nt
Filed under: Salmonella enterica
Lineage: Bacteria; Pseudomonadati; Pseudomonadota; Gammaproteobacteria; Enterobacterales; Enterobacteriaceae
Description: partial 23S ribosomal RNA
Rfam family: Bacterial large subunit ribosomal RNA
Source: RNAcentral
AUAGGGGAGCCGGAGGGAAACCGAGUCUUAACUGGGCGUUAAGUUGCAGGGUAUAGACCCGAAACCCGGUGAUCUAGCCAUGGGCAGGUUGAAGGUUGGGUAACACUAACUGGAGGACCGAACCGACUAAUGUUGAAAAAUUAGCGGAUGACCUGUGGCUGGGGGUGAAAGGCCAAUCAAACCGGGAGAUAGCUGGUUCUCCCCGAAAGCUAUUUAGGUAGCGCCUCGUGAACUCAUCUCCGGGGGUAGAGCACUGUUUCGGCUAGGGGGCCAUCCCGGCUUACCAACCCGAUGCAAACUGCGAAUACCGGAGAAUGUUAUCACGGGAGACACACGGCGGGUGCUAACGUCCGUCGUGAAGAGGGAAACAACCCAGACCGCCAGCUAAGGUCCCAAAGUCAUGGUUAAGUGGGAAACGAUGUGGGAAGGCCCAGACAGCCAGGAUGUUGGCUUAGAAGCAGCCAUCAUUUAAAGAAAGCGUAAUAGCUCACUGGUCGAGUCGGCCUGCGCGGAAGAUGUAACGGGGCUAAACCAUGCACCGAAGCUGCGGCAGCGAACGUAUCACCCAAGACAACUUUACGGAGUUGACGAUUGACGGAGCGAAGCGACGUCAAAGCGUUCAUUAAAGUCGAGUUGGCUUAGGGAUACGUUCGUUGGGUAGGGGAGCGUUCUGUAAGCCUGUGAAGGUGGCCUGUGAGGGUUGCUGGAGGUAUCAGAAGUGCGAAUGCUGACAUAAGUAACGAUAAAGCGGGUGAAAAGCCCGCUCGCCGGAAGACCAAGGGUUCCUGUCCAACGUUAAUCGGGGCAGGGUGAGUCGACCCCUAAGGCGAGGCCGAAAGGCGUAGUCGAUGGGAAACGGGUUAAUAUUCCCGUACUUGGUGUUACUGCGAAGGGGGGACGGAGAAGGCUAUGUUGGCCGGGCGACGGUUGUCCCGGUUUAAGCGUGUAGGCUGGUUUUCCAGGCAAAUCCGGAAAAUCAAGGCUGAGGCGUGACGACGAGGCACUACGGUGCUGAAGCAACAAAUGCCCUGCUUCCAGGAAAAGCCUCUAAGCAUCAGGUAACAUCAAAUCGUACCCCAAACCGACACAGGUGGUCAGGUAGAGAAUACCAAGGCGCUUGAGAGAACUCGGGUGAAGGAACUAGGCAAAAUGGUGCCGUAACUUCGGGAGAAGGCACGCUGACA